AUAUAAGAUUUGUCACAUGGUCUUGUAUUGGCUUCGUUAUCCAUCAACGUGAAGCUUUGAAGCCCUCUUUGUCUGUUGUCUUGUUUCUUCCCUGUUUCAGCUAGGCAGAUGGGAUUUAAAGAUAGAAGACAUUGCCCUUUGCUCUGCAAGUUAGCAACAGAAUACAUCAGGAAAUGCGAUGGUUGCGAAGAGGAUAUAUAUACAUAUUUCUCUAAUGAACCAGAUGUGGAUUCACUGUUUGUUAAGCUCGUGGAAGAGUUUGAGAGAUGCAUUCUUAGUUAUUUUGCAUUUCAUUGGAGUCAUGCAGAUCUUAUGAUUAGUGAGGUCAGCAUCAACAUGUAUAUACUAUGUUGGUACUAUAUUGCUUCAAAUAUAUAAGAAAACUACAAAACCUAUGAUAGAUACAUGUUCAAAUCCGACACAUCCGAGAAAACUACAAAAACUAUGAUAGAUACAUGUUCAAAUCCGACACAUCCAAGUUCAAAUAACAUAUAGAAAAUGACUUGUUUUUUAUCAUAUUGUUUCAGGUAUUAAGUUCUGAUGCUGAACCCAAGAGAAAGCUCAAGCAGAUUGUCAUGGCAGCAACUAGGUUGGGCAUAGUCUAUUCUUUGAUUAUUGUUAUUGUCAGAUCAUAAUAAUAACUAAAAAAAUUUAUUGAAAUAAGGUAGAUCUGAAGAUUUUCGAAUUAAUAUAUCAACUUUAGAUUAUAUCUAUUUACGGCAAGAAACUUGGAUUUUAAAACCUUAAAACUAGCGUAGCUAUAGUCUCUCACCAUCGUCGUCACUGCUGACAAGUAAUACUGAUUUCUACAAAAAGAACUUCGGUUUUCUAAUAUAGGGAACAAAGAUUUGAGAGGGUGACAAAAAGUCUGAAGGUGGCUAGGGUUUUCAAUACGUUGGUGGAAGAAAUGAAAGCAAUGGGACUCACCUCAACUGAUGAUUCCCGAUGUACAGAGGUGAUGGCUCCAGUGGCUCACAGUGAUAGAAGCCCAGUGCUGCUACUCAUGGGAGGUGGGAUGGGAGCUGGGAAGAGUACCGUCCUUAAGGACAUCCUCAAAGAGUAAGCUCGUCCUAUAUCCGACACUUAUCACCGAGUAACUCGAUCAUAACGUAGCAGACAAUUAGUCUCCUUUUGUUCCUGUAGAAGUAAAGAAACCAUUUGUAUGGAUGACUAUUUUAGUCAAGUAGACCUUCCAUAAAGUUUUCUUUUGAAAUUAGUAGUAAAUAUGAGUACUUACAAGGAACUAAUGUUGAGUGUUUUGCUUAAAAUAUGAACAGAACAUUCUGGGCUGGCGCAGCAGGAAAUGCAGUAGUGAUCGAGGCAGAUGCAUUCAAAGAAUCAGAUGUCAUAUACAGAGCCCUCAGCUCCAAAGGUCAUGCAGACAUGGUUCAUACAGCAGAACUGGUAAGAGUCACUUUCUCAGCCUCAUCAACUUUCACUGAUAGUUUCUUUAGCAAACUGAAUGAUUUCAAUUGCAUAGGCUUAAUGGCUUAAUACAGUAGCUAGCAGUAAACAAAGUUUUCUCCCAGCAUGUACAGGUUAUAAUCUAUUGAAACAAAGAGUUUCAAUGCAUUUCCCCAUCUCAUUCACUCCACUUCGAUCCUAUGAUUGGCAUCUCUAUCAUCCAAGCUGGUUGCACUUUUGGCCAAAAUGUUGAGAUCAAACAGCUCAUGGAUUAAACUUCCUUUAUUUCUAGAAGUAACACUAGGUUGCCUUUCUUUUUUAUGUGUAUAUGUUUUAGUAAUUAACUAGACUCAAAAACUAAAACAUAAAAUCCAUGCAACCUGAAGGAAAAUGAUUGAGUUGCAUUAUUAACUGAAAAUGUCAAACAUCUACAUUUAGAAAAUGCAUACCAACGGCAACCAAUUCAAAUAUUUUUCCAGCCUUUCCAUAAUGCAAGAGCCUCUGUAAUCAUUUUCUGAGCUACUCUGAGGUUGGACUUUCUUCCAUCAACCUUUAACCAAUUAACAACAUCCCAGUAAUCCAUGUCCUGUAAUAUCUUGUCACUGCCACAUGUGGCCCUACAAAAGUUUCCUUCCCACAUGAAUAAGUGUAUCUUUACAUUCAACAGUAAUAAAUAUUUCAUUUUUCUGUUCUCCACCAAGUCAACAUAGACUCAUAGUUCUCAAACAAAAACUCAAUGUUAAAUGUACAAAUCAACAAAAAAAUACUUCAUAGGUAAAUGAAUAACAUGGUAACCAUAUUAAUGCUUCUCAUUGGUUUUAACAACUGUCCCAAACAGGUGCACCAAUCAUCUACAGAUGCUGCAUCAUCCCUCCUAGUGACAGCACUCAAUGAGGGGCGGGACGUGAUCAUGGAUGGAACACUCUCCUGGAUACCAUUUGUUGUGCAAACAAUAACUAUGGCCAGAUGUGUCCAUCGCCGGCGAUAUCGUAUGGGUGUUGGUUACAAGCGAAAACCUGAUGGGACUGUAAUUGAGAACUACUGGGAGCAAAUUGAAGAAGAUCAAUUGCAAGAAGGAGGGAAAAGGAGGAAGCCAUACAGAAUAGAGCUGGUUGGGGUUGUUUGUGAAGCCUAUUUAGCGGUCAUUAGAGGCAUAAGGUACUGCACCAUGGAAAACAUUAGAGACAGUUGUCUUAGUUUUAGUACGAAGUCUUUUCCCCUUUAGCUGAGAUAUUGAUUUUAUCAAGAAAUUCAAUAUUUACAGGAGAGCUAUAAUGUGUAGACGCGCUGUAAGGGUGCAGUCACAAUUGAAAUCCCACAAGAGAUUUGCAAAUGCGUUUCCAACAUAUUGCCAACUGGUUGACAGUGCUAGGCUGUAUUCCACCAAUGCUUUGGAAGGUCCACCUAAGGUGAAUUAACUAUCCGACAUUUUCAAUCUUUAUUUACUUAACAGGUGACAUAAAACUGAAAGGAACACCUAGUUCACCAAAGAAUUUUAUCAUGCAAGAAAUGCUAUUUGUAAAUUGUUUGACAUUUCAAUACAGGAGGCUUUUGUCUCUGGUACAAAAUUAGAUGAGGAGAACUGGCUUUCUCUUAAAGCCAUGAACCCUGCUCAAUCUUUCAGGAAGAUCAUAAGCAGGCUUACCACUAGUCUAAUUUUAUUGGAAAAAAACCAUAGUAGUAUGAAAAACAGCUGACACUGUUGUAAAGUAGCAAUCUACAAAUAGAACUCCUUUCUAGGCAUGCAAACUUCCAUUUUCUUGUUCAGGACUGAACUCAUUCAAGUGUCUGGUUGUAGAAUUGGUGAGAGAGUGGUUUUGAACCCUCACAAGUCCAAGACAACUAAGUUGAGAUUAAACCAAACCUAAGCGGAGAAAAAUUCCAGCAGCCCAGUUUACUCCAUUAUAAUCCUAAAACUGAAAUCUAGGAGGAAGAGAAAAUAGCCUUGUCUGUUACAGAUAACUGCAGGCUGCAGCAUGCAGGGAUAAACAAAUAAAUUGUGAAGGAACUUCAUUGCUAGCAAAAUUACUCCAUGCAACCAAUUAUGUAGCAUUAACAUGAAAAUUUUUGUAAAGUUGAUAGGAUGGAAAGAAAGAGAGAGAACCUUGCUAGUUGAUCCAGAUGAAAUUGACUGUUUAAAGAAAGUGGGCAGGCUGAAUGAAGAAGCUGAGUCCAUAUAUGAACUUUACAAGCACCCCAACCCGGCGUGUGAAGCUGGUUCAAUCUGGA
This 3633-nucleotide long non-coding RNA is filed under the name Gossypium barbadense (sea-island cotton). RNAcentral's name for it is "long non-coding RNA (GBAR_LNC006921)". Lineage: Eukaryota; Viridiplantae; Streptophyta; Magnoliopsida; Malvales; Malvaceae. The record is from RNAcentral.